AAAUUUGUGGCGUUAUACGGUUUUCAUAGCGAAUGAAAAGGGAAAUUGGUUAAAAACCAAUGCUGUACCCGCAACUGUAAGCUUAGUCCGUACUGCGGAUGUUUUUUGAAACUUUAUACCACUGAUCAUAUCGGGAAGGUCUUCAGAAAAACGCGAGCCAGGAUACCUGCCGUAAAUAGUGGUUUGAU
RNAcentral lists this non-coding RNA (188 nucleotides) under Flavobacteriaceae bacterium. Lineage: Bacteria; Pseudomonadati; Bacteroidota; Flavobacteriia; Flavobacteriales; Flavobacteriaceae. The record is from RNAcentral.